Long non-coding RNA from Lotus japonicus, 1728 nucleotides. RefSeq lists it as uncharacterized. NCBI's taxonomy places the organism in Eukaryota, Viridiplantae, Streptophyta, Magnoliopsida, Fabales, Fabaceae. The record is from RefSeq and is a predicted model, not a curated record. The transcript has 2 exons.
UAACAUAGACUCUACAAUUACAAGGCUACAUCUAUUAGGAUUAACAUAAUUUGUUAGAGAGGUUGAUUAAUUGUGACAGAAAUUAGUUACACUUAAUCAAUGAGUUACACCUAGUUAGUGAGAUUCAGAAAUUAGUUACACCUAACAAUCAGUGAGAUUCCUAGUUAGUGUAUUUAGAAAUUAGUUACACCUAACAAUCAGUGAGAUUCCUAAUUAGUGUAUUCACAAGCCUCUAUAUAUAUGGCUUUCUAUUCAUUUGUUAACAUCCACGAUCCAGUGAGGAAAGAUCGCUAGACUAAAUGCUUGCAACCAAACUACAUCUUAGCCCUUUCUCAUCUUUAGUAGCUUCUUCAUUAUUAUCAGUCACUUGAAAUUUACCAUCAUCCCAAUGUAAACCAAAGAAGCUGAAGCAACAUAUUCUCUUAUUGCUCCAUAUCAAUAGUGAGCACAAAUGUUUUCUUUUGGCCAAGAGAAUUGAAUGACAAAACAUUUGGCUUCACUUUGAUUUUAAGUCCUUGAGGAGCAGUCACAACUCACAAUAGCUUUAUAUGUGGACAUCGGGGAUCAAACAUUUGUGACAGUCCUCUUGAAACUAUCAAAUACAUUGGAAUCUGAGUGUGAGGCUUGGAGAGCAAAUGAAGGGUAGUUUAGAUCCCUUGCUAUUAUCCCCUGUUAUGAGUUGUAGAAGCAUUGAAUUAUAGCCCUAACCGCAUAAAAAUCUUAUGUAGUCAAUUUCAUUCCAGUAGCAUCAUACACUAAACCAGGUUCACGGCAUUGGAAGCAUUAAUUUGGCAUGCUCCAUAUGCAAAAUCUGCAUCAGCUCUUUUUUUGGCUUGUCAAAAUUUUUCUAGAGUGAAGCUAAGCACAUCCUAGUAAUCAUUACUACAUCAGCACAUUCUUGAAUACAUGGAAGCUUGUGGAUGUGUGAUUCCUUGGAGGGACAAAGCGUUAGAAACUUGCAGGCUCAAUUAUGACAGGUGAGAGUAGGUCCAAAAAGGUUGAGGCUGCAUACCGGAAAGAUUUUAAAUUUUUUAGGAUCACUAACCUGUGAAGAUUGCCAGAAACGCGAAUUCUUCAAGGACGAAUAUGGAGCAGGCCUAAUUGAUCCUUCCAAGGUUCUGAAACCGGCUUUAGUGUAUGAUGCUAGUGAAAGGGACCACAUAGGAUUUUCAUAUGGACAGGGCUAUAGUUCAAAGCUUCUACAACUCAUCACAGGGAAUAAUGGCAAUGGAUCUAAACUAUCCUUCAUUUACUCUUCAAGCCUCACCCUCAGACCCCAAUGUAUUUGGCGGUUUCAAGAGGAUUGUCACAAAUGUUGGAUCCCAAUGUCGGCAUAUAAAGCUAUUGUGACUACUCGUAAAGGGCUUAAAAUCAAAGUGAAGCCAAAUGUUUUUUCAUUCAAUUCUCUUGGCCAAAAGAAAACAUUUGUGCUCACUAUUGAUAUGGAGCAAUAAUAGAAUCUGUUGCUUCAGCUUCUUUGGUUUGGUUUGGGAUGAUGGUAAAUUUCCAGUUAGGAGCCCCAUUUUUGUGUUUAAUGUACGAGUACCGUGAUACAUUGAAUAAGGAGUUUUGCUGGUUUAUGUUGGUCCUACUGGAAGUUGUCAUUUCAUAAUUGGAACCACGAAGGCUCAAUGCAUAUUGAUGUGAUUGGAUGUCUUCGUAAAACUCUUUACACCGUUAGUGAAUAUAAAUCAAAUCCUUUAUAAUAUAUUAAUUUUGAAGUCUGAA